UGCUGUGAACUCGAAGAGUAGGGCGGGACACGUGGUAUCCUGUCUGAAUAUGGGGGGACCAUCCUCCAAGGCUAAAUACUCCUGACUGACCGAUAGUGAACCAGUACCGUGAGGGAAAGGCGAAAAGAACCCCGGCGAGGGGAGUGAAAAAGAACCUGAAACCGUGUACGUACAAGCAGUGGGAGCACCUUCGGGUGUGACUGCGUACCUUUUGUAUAAUGGGUCAGCGACUUAUAUUCUGUAGCAAGGUUAACCGUAUAGGGGAGCCGAAGGGAAACCGAGUCUUAACUGGGCGUUAAGUUGCAGGGUAUAGACCCGAAACCCGGUGAUCUAGCCAUGGGCAGGUUGAAGGUUGGGUAACACUAACUGGAGGACCGAACCGACUAAUGUUGAAAAAUUAGCGGAUGACCUGUGGCUGGGGGUGAAAGGCCAAUCAAACCGGGAGAUAGCUGGUUCUCCCCGAAAGCUAUUUAGGUAGCGCCUCGUGAACUCAUCUUCGGGGGUAGAGCACUGUUUCGGCUAGGGGGCCAUCCCGGCUUACCAACCCGAUGCAAACUACGAAUACCGAAGAAUGUUAUCACGGGAGACACACGGCGGGUGCUAACGUCCGUCGUGAAGAGGGAAACAACCCAGACCGCCAGCUAAGGUCCCAAAGUCAUGGUUAAGUGGGAAACGAUGUGGGAAGGCACAGACAGCCAGGAUGUUGGCUUAGAAGCAGCCAUCAUUUAAAGAAAGCGUAAUAGCUCACUGGUCGAGUCGGCCUGCGCGGAAGAUGUAACGGGGCUAAACCAUG
RNAcentral lists this ribosomal RNA (793 nucleotides) under Enterobacter hormaechei. RNAcentral describes it as "partial 23S ribosomal RNA". It matches the Rfam family "Bacterial large subunit ribosomal RNA", at positions 395 to 1191 of the family's 2925-position model. The record is from RNAcentral. Lineage: Bacteria; Pseudomonadati; Pseudomonadota; Gammaproteobacteria; Enterobacterales; Enterobacteriaceae.